UUUUGCUGAACAACAAACCAAGCUCAGCUCCUGGUAAAAAUUUGUUCCAUCUAAUUGAGUUUUUCUUCUAACCCUACCGCUGUUUGGUUUUAUAGCUGAGUUCUUUGAGUUUUUUGUUUCCUCUCCCGUUUAAGUUAUAGUUUAGAUGGCGGGAAGAAAUCGAGGUUCUCGUGAAGUUUUUGGCCACCGGCGCGGGUAUCCAGCAGAGGAGCAUAUCCCUCGAGGCCCUUUAAUCCGGCCUAUACCUCCUCAUCCUGCUCUGUUAGAGGAAGAACUUGAAAUUCGACAUCUUGAGCUUAGGAGGCUUCUAGAUGAAAAUCGAAGACUGGUAGAGGACAGAAUUGCUUUGGAGCGAGAUUUAAAUUCUGCAAGGGAAGAGUUCCGUCGCAUGAAUCUAGGCAUUAAUGAUAUGCGCGCUGAACAAGACCUCCAAUCUAGGGAGCUUAUCGAAAGGGUUCUGAAGUUGGAUGCUGACCUUCGGGCUACUGAGCCUAUAAAAAUUGAGGCUGCAAAACUUCGCGAUGAGAUUCAUAGACUGAAUGCCAUUAGGCAGGAUCUAACCGGGCAAAUUCAGGGUCUCUCUCAAGAACUUGCUAAGUGUCGGGCUGAAAACCAGAAAAUGCCUGGUUUAAAGACUGAGAUUGACGAACUGCAUCAGGAACUUGUGCGAGCUAGAACUGCUGUCGAUUUUGAAAAGAAUGCACAUAUUGAGCUGAUGGAACAGAGGCAGGCAAUGGAGAAGAACAUGGUCGGCAUGGCUCGUGAAGUUGAGAAGCUGCGUUCUGAGCUUGCAAAUUCUAGUGCUAGAGCAUGGAAUGCAGGUGGGGCCUAUGGAAUGAAGUACAAACACCCUGAUGCCAAUUUUCCUGCCCCUUAUGAUGACGCAUAUGGGGUUCGCCAGGGUCCUUCAUAUGGUUCCAGUUCUGCUUCCUGGGGAGGCCAUGAAAAACCAAGGAUGAAUCGCCGUUGAUGAUAUGUGGAGGAUUAAUGCGUAAGGGCUUCCCUUGCAAGCAUUGUUGCUGCCCAAUAGAGUACAGGGCAAAAAACUGUGACUUUAUGAGGAGUCAUCGCUGCUUCUACACAAAACUCUCCAGCAUGUGUGGUAAGUGUAUCAGGUAAAGUAGUUCUCUCCUCGUUCUAAAAUUUAGGUCUGCUAUUGUUCUAUGAUUCAGAAAUCAGUUUUGAGUUUGGUACUCAGGUAAGAAACCACCACACCACUUUAAAAAAUAGAUUUACUUGCAACUAUUUUGUUUUCAUGUUUAUUAUCGCUUAAGGGGCUGGAUCAUGUUUCAUGGUUUGAGUUUGCUGGGGAAAUGCUUCGGAAGACAGGUUUAAUGCAAGUAAACAGCGUAAUAAUCAUAAUAGUUUACAGUAGUUUAUUACUACAAAUUAUGGUCAUCGCGAUUAUAGUAGUGAAUUAAAUUAUAGCCUUAAGCUCAGUCCAAUUCAACAUUUUGAUAUUCCUCUCAAUUAUUUGGAGUCUUCAACUCUUCAUGGAUCAGUAUCUUGCUUGAACUGUUGCAGUUUUCUUGGACUGGCACAAUAUCUAAAUGAUGAUAUCUUGUUUUUUUUUUUUGUUUUUUCAUAUUUUGUUUCUGAGACAUGAUUGAUCGUUUGAUACAUUCUGACCGUGAUCAGAGAACUAGAUUAGCGACGCUCUUGCCCUUCUGGGUAGAAGCUUUUCGGUCAAGCUCUUCGUUUUGUUUAAUUCUCUAUAUUUUUUUCACGGUACAUGAUCGGAAGGCAUUCCAUUAGCUUUGUAGUUUUUUUAUCAAAUUGUUUGUGUUGGAAUGAUCAGUUUCUGUAUAAAUCGAAUGUGCACGUUGUACUAUUAGGCAGUAUAGCGUUGAAUUGUGAUA
Molecule: RNA transcript, 1859 nt
Organism: Salvia splendens (bonfire salvia)
Lineage: Eukaryota; Viridiplantae; Streptophyta; Magnoliopsida; Lamiales; Lamiaceae
Gene name: protein FLX-like 3
Exons: 6
Source: RefSeq, a predicted model, not a curated record